Molecule: transfer RNA, 72 nt
Filed under: Loxodonta africana (African savanna elephant)
Lineage: Eukaryota; Metazoa; Chordata; Mammalia; Proboscidea; Elephantidae
Rfam family: tRNA
About the family: Transfer RNA (tRNA) molecules are approximately 80 nucleotides in length. Their secondary structure includes four short double-helical elements and three loops (D, anti-codon, and T loops).
Source: Rfam by way of RNAcentral
GCAGUGGUGGUUCAGUGGUAGAAUUUACGUCUCUGAUGCAGGAGAACCCGGGUUCCAUUCCUGGCCUGUGUA